UACGAAGGGGGCUAGCGUUGCUCGGAAUUACUGGGCGUAAAGGGAGCGUAGGCGGACAGUUUAGUCAGAGGUGAAAGCCCAGGGCUCAACCCUGGAAUUGCCUUUGAUACUGAUUGUCUUGAGUGCGGGAGAGGUGUGUGGAACUCCGAGUGUAGAGGUGAAAUUCGUAGAUAUUCGGAAGAACACCAGUGGCGAAGGCGACACACUGGCCCGUUACUGACGCUGAGGCUCGAAAGCGUGGGGAGCAAACAGG
RNAcentral lists this ribosomal RNA (253 nucleotides) under uncultured bacterium. RNAcentral describes it as "partial 16S ribosomal RNA". It matches the Rfam family "Bacterial small subunit ribosomal RNA", at positions 524 to 776 of the family's 1533-position model. The record is from RNAcentral.